RNAcentral lists this ribosomal RNA (467 nucleotides) under uncultured Thiobacillus sp. Its description in RNAcentral is "bacterial SSU rRNA". It matches the Rfam family "Bacterial small subunit ribosomal RNA", at positions 912 to 1382 of the family's 1533-position model. The record is from RNAcentral. Lineage: Bacteria; Pseudomonadati; Pseudomonadota; Betaproteobacteria; Nitrosomonadales; Thiobacillaceae.
AGACGGGGACCCGCACAAGCGGUGGAUGAUGUGGAUUAAUUCGAUGCAACGCGAAGAACCUUACCUACCCUUGACAUGUCCGGAACUUGCCAGAGAUGGCUUGGUGCCCGAAAGGGAAUCGGAACACAGGUGCUGCAUGGCUGUCGUCAGCUCGUGUCGUGAGAUGUUGGGUUAAGUCCCGCAACGAGCGCAACCCUUAUCAUUAGUUGCUACGCAAGGGCACUCUAAUGAGACUGCCGGUGACAAACCGGAGGAAGGUGGGGAUGACGUCAAGUCCUCAUGGCCCUUAUGGGUAGGGCUUCACACGUCAUACAAUGGUCGGUACAGAGGGUUGCCAAGCCGCGAGGCGGAGCCAAUCCCAGAAAGCCGAUCGUAGUCCGGAUUGUUCUCUGCAACUCGAGAGCAUGAAGUCGGAAUCGCUAGUAAUCGCGGAUCAGCAUGUCGCGGUGAAUACGUUCCCGGGCCUU